CCCAAUGAGAUUUCAAACUGAGAAAUGGAAACUCAGUUUGAAAUCUCAUUGGACA
Bison bison bison is the source of this 55-nucleotide microRNA precursor. Lineage: Eukaryota; Metazoa; Chordata; Mammalia; Artiodactyla; Bovidae. The record is from Ensembl.